Long non-coding RNA from Tupaia belangeri chinensis (Chinese tree shrew), 1344 nucleotides. RefSeq lists it as uncharacterized. The transcript has 4 exons. Lineage: Eukaryota; Metazoa; Chordata; Mammalia; Scandentia; Tupaiidae. The record is from RefSeq and is a predicted model, not a curated record.
CGGAACCUAGCCACUGCACUAUGGAACUAGCCCAAGCACAGAAUCUUAAAAGGAGCAGCCCCGAGCAGACUGAGACAGAUGGCAUAUCACAGAUGAAAGUGACCAGUACAAAACCUGGCACAUGGCAUGCUCUCCUUUCUCCGCACUGGCUGUAAAGAGGUUGUGUUGGCCUACGUGCAUCAGUUUAGAAUGCUCCCCUCCAGGUCCUGCUUUGUAGCAGAGCAGUGAGGUGUUGCUCAGGAGAAGGUGGAUUCCACACGGCGUCAGUGGUUCUAUCCUUAGCUUGAUCCAUCUGAAACGUGCAAGGAAUACCGGCAAAACCUGAAGGUCGGAGAGGUGAAGUGAAGAGCCGAGGUCACUGCCACAAGUUCCACCACCACUUGAAGAAGCUUCCAGGUCACUAUCCUGGAUAGAGCAGUGACUUCCUGGAGGCCACAGGACAGCCACCUCCUCCUCAUGUUUCUCAUCUCCUGUGAACUCACUGAAAUGAAAGACGCCGCAGCUUAUGUGCAAUGGGGUAACACCGUAAACCGAUGUCGUAGUAUGAAAAGGCUUAUCAGGAAUAUGAUUGCUGAGUAAUUCCUCCCAUUAUGUUAAAGAUGAGAGAGAGAGACAUAUCCGUUAAAUGAAGAGAGAUUUUGUUUCACCCUUUAUGUAUAAUGAUUUUUAGUCUGCAGUAGUCAAAUAAAAAAAAGUAAUAAAAGACCUGAAAUGCUACCAACUUGGGCCCUUUGGGCACAGAGAUGUGCCUUUAAGUAAAUGUGUCACAGAAAACAGAAAGUGGUUUUCAAUCGAGUGCUUUGCCACCAAGACAGGUGCAGGGCUUCUUCGAGUGUGCUUCGAUGCCACUGUCGCAUACUCUGCGUACCAGGCAGCAGGAGUGGAGGGUGGUUCCUUAAAGACUGGCCAAAGUGGAGUGCUCACAGGUCAGAGCCCAGCCUGCAGUGAUUAACAAAGUGCCUUGGGCUUAGCCUUUCACUUCAUUUUCUGCAUUUGAUGCCAAUGUUUGCUUCCAAUUCAUUCUCUUCCCCUCCUCCAUAACCGGAACCUGCCUUCUGGCUCAGUCAGAGACCUUCCAAUUUUCUACUUUCAUCACCAAGUUUCUGACGUGUCUGUCCUUCUGGAGUGACUUGCUUUACUAUCUCUGGUAUCAUCCUAUGAUCCCUCAGGCUCUUGCUGCUGUAUGUCCUGUCUCCUGGGAUAUUCGAGAGUUAUGUGACUGAGUCAUCCCAUCUGCCUGCUCCUUGCUCCUGUGUGGACCCUGCAGAUUAGUGGUUACCAUUUAUUACCUUCUGCAGUGAGAUCAUGGGGAGGGGUUCAGUAGCACUGCAUUCCAGCUCCACA